This 18-nucleotide microRNA is filed under the name Ananas comosus (pineapple). Its description in RNAcentral is "microRNA s1103_c137a". The record is from RNAcentral. Lineage: Eukaryota; Viridiplantae; Streptophyta; Magnoliopsida; Poales; Bromeliaceae.
GUUUAGGGUUUAGGGUUU